CCUACGGGAGGCAGCAGUGAGGAAUAUUGGUCAAUGGACGAGAGUCUGAACCAGCCAAGUCGCGUGAGGGAUGACGGCCCUAUGGGUUGUAAACUUCUUUUGUCUGGGAAUAAAACGUUCCACGUGUGGGUUUUUGUGUGUACCCUAUGAAAAAGCAUCGGCUAACUCCGUGCCAGCAGCCGCGGUAAUACGGAGGAGGCGAGCGUUAUCCGGAUUUAUUGGGUGUAAAGGGCGCGUAGGUGGGAUGUUAAGUCAGUUGUGAAAGUUUGCGGCUCAACCGUAAAAGUGCAGUUGAAACUGGAAGUCUUGAGUACUGUAGAGGUAGGCGGAAUUCGCGGUGUAGCGGUGGAAUGCGUAGAUAUCACGAAGAACUCCGAUUGCGAAGGCAGCCUGCUGGACUUUAACUGACACUGAGGCGCGAAAGCGUGGGGAUCAAACAGGAUUAGAUACCCUAGUAGUC
Molecule: ribosomal RNA, 460 nt
Filed under: uncultured bacterium
Lineage: Bacteria
Description: partial 16S ribosomal RNA
Rfam family: Bacterial small subunit ribosomal RNA
Source: RNAcentral